This 493-nucleotide ribosomal RNA is filed under the name uncultured bacterium. Its description in RNAcentral is "partial 16S ribosomal RNA". It matches the Rfam family "Bacterial small subunit ribosomal RNA", at positions 28 to 506 of the family's 1533-position model. The record is from RNAcentral.
GACGAACGCUGGCGGCGUGCUUAACACAUGCAAGUCGAACGGUGAAGCGCCUUCCUUUUUGGUGGGUGUGGAUGAGUGGCGAACGGGUGAGUAACACGUGAGUAACCUGCCCCCUUCUUCUGGAUAACCGCAUGAAAGUGUGGCUAAUACGGGAUAUUCUGGGUCUGUCGCAUGAUGGGUCUGGGAAAGAUAUUGUUUCGGUGGGGGAUGGGCUCGCGGCCUAUCAGCUUGUUGGUGGGGUGAUGGCCUACCAAGGCGGUGACGGGUAGCCGGCCUGAGAGGGUGGACGGUCACACUGGGACUGAGACACGGCCCAGACUCCUACGGGAGGCAGCAGUGGGGAAUAUUGCACAAUGGGCGCACGCCUGAUGCAGCGACGCCGCGUGAGGGAUGGAGGCCUUCGGGUUGUGAACCUCUUUCGCCAGUGAAGCAGGCCUGCCUCGUUUGUGGGUGGGUUGACGGUAGCUGGAUAAGAAGCGCCGGCUAACUACGU